UAUUAUUUUGGAGUGUUAAUUUUUGUGCCUGAGUAGUAUUAGUUAUGUUCUUGAAACUUAAAGAAUUUGGCGGUAUCUUAUUCCAUCCAGAGGAAUCUGUCUCGUUAUCGAUAGUCCGCGUUGGACCUUACUUAGUUGCUUUGGUUUGUAUACCGCCGUUUAUUGAUUAUCUUUUUAGAGUUGAUUUAAUUUUCUGGUUUCUUUAUUUUGAUUUAUUUCAGGUCAAGGUGCAGCUUGUUUCUAAGUGGAAUGAUGGAUUACAUUGUUAUUUGUUUAUUGGAUUGUUGGUUUUAAUAUUGAUAUGAAAUUGGAUUUGGUUGUAAUGUUUUGUAGAUUGUUUUCAUGAUAAUUGGUUCUGGGAUAUGUACACAUCGCCCGUCGCUCUCGUUUAUUUGUUAAUGAG
RNAcentral lists this ribosomal RNA (403 nucleotides) under Longustitermes manni. Its description in RNAcentral is "partial 12S ribosomal RNA". The record is from RNAcentral. Lineage: Eukaryota; Metazoa; Arthropoda; Insecta; Blattodea; Termitidae.